GAGAAGGAAGGUCCCCCCCACAACUGGGAACUGAGACACGUCCCAGGAUUCCUACGGGAGGCCGGCAGGUGAGGAAUUUAGGUCAAUGGACGCAAGUUUGAACCAGCCAUGCCGCGUGCAGGAAUGAGGCCCUAUGGGUCGUAAACUGCUUUUUGCUGCGGAGCAAUAAGUGGCACGUGUGCCACGAUGAGAGUACGCAGCGAAUAAGCAUCGGCUAACUCCGUGCCAGCAGCCGCGGUAAUACGGAGGAUGCGAGCGUUAUCCGGAUUUAUUGGGUUUAAAGGGUGCGUAGGCUGUUCGUCAAGUCAGUGGUGAAAUGCCGGGGCUCAACCCCGGAGCUGCCAUUGAUACUGUCGGGCUUGAAUCCUGCUGCCGUGGGAGGAAUGAGUAGUGUAGCGGUGAAAUGCAUAGAUAUUACUCAGAACACCGAUUGCGAAGGCAUCUCACGAAACAGGCAUUGACGCUGAGGCACGAAAGCGUGGGGAUCAAACAGGAUUAGAUACCCUGGUAGUCCACGCAGUAA
RNAcentral lists this ribosomal RNA (523 nucleotides) under uncultured archaeon. RNAcentral's name for it is "bacterial SSU rRNA". It matches the Rfam family "Bacterial small subunit ribosomal RNA", at positions 294 to 805 of the family's 1533-position model. The record is from RNAcentral.